UUUUUUCUUCGGAUGAGAGUUUCCUAGUGGCGAACGGGUGAGUAACGCGUUGGUGACCUGCCCCAAAGAUGGGGAUAACAGUUCGAAAGAAUUGCUAAUACCCUAUGUGAUCAGUUGGAUUAGAAGCCUUCUGAUUAAAGGAGUAAUCCGCUUUGGGAGGGACCUGCGUCCCAUCAGCUAGUUGGUAGGGUAACGGCCUACCAAGGCAAUGACGGGUAGGGGACCUGAGAGGGUGACCCCCCACAAUGGCACUGAAACACGGGCCAUACACCUACGGGUGGCAGCAGUAGGGAAUAUUGGACAAUGGGCGAAAGCCUGAUGCAGCAACGCCGCGUGUGUGAAGAAGGCCUUCGGGUCGUAAAGCACUUUUCUGGGAGAUGAGAAAGGACAGUAUCCCAGGAAUAAGUCUCGGCUAACUACGUGCCAGCAGCCGCGGUAAAACGUAGGAGGCGAGCGUUAUCCGGAUUCACUGGGCGUAAAGCGCGUGCAGGCGGUUUGGUAAGUUGGGCGUGAAAGCUCCCGGCUCAACUGGGAGAGGUCGUCCAAAACUACCAGACUAGAGAGCGAUAGAGGAAAAUGGAAUUCCCGGUGUAGUGGUGAAAUGCGUAGAUAUCGGGAGGAACACCAGUGGCGAAGGCGAUUUUCUGGAUCGUUUCUGACGCUCAGACGCGAAAGCUAGGGUA
Molecule: ribosomal RNA, 683 nt
Filed under: uncultured bacterium
Lineage: Bacteria
Description: bacterial SSU rRNA
Rfam family: Bacterial small subunit ribosomal RNA
Source: RNAcentral